GCGAAGAGUUGUGCGGUGAUUCGAGGGAGUCGUGCGUGUGUUGUUGUGCGUAGGUCGAGAGCGAGCGAAGGGUGCGUCGCUGCUGUGCGCGCCAGCGAACCGAAGAAGGCUCGAGUGGGGCUGUGUGGCGAGCGAAGGCCACCGGAGUUCCGUCGCCGGAAUUUUGUGCCGGCGAAAGUCAGUGGUCCCAAUUUCAUAAGCGGCUCGUUCUAUUAAGUCAGCGAAAAUUCUCCGUUACAAGAUGGUUCACGACAUAGGCUGUAGGGACUUUUUGAUGAAACAAGUAGGGGAAGACUGGGAUAUGUGGUUCUUUAAAAUGAAGUCUGCUAUGGAUUACAGAAUUAUGCAAGGGGAACAAUGGUUACGAUCUGAGGGCUCUAGGAUACACUUCAUGCUUCGUUAUGUUCCAGAUAUAGAGCCAUAUAGAUUUGUUCAUCGUAGGUAUGGGGAUAUGUGGACUCCAGAAGGGUAUUUCAAUAGGAAUAAGCAUACCUACGGAUAUCCAGAACCUGCCUUCCGAAAAGCACUUCCUCACUGACCUUAAAUACUGCGAGAAUGAGUGGAGGGUUCGUGAGACCAGGGGUCAAAACCCUUCUACUUCAUCUGAAAGGGAAAGUUCGAGCAAUAGGGCCAUAGAUGGGAAUUCUGAGAACCCAGGGGUCAUACCUGAACCGCCAUCAGCACC
Long non-coding RNA from Beta vulgaris subsp. vulgaris (sugar beet), 685 nucleotides. RefSeq lists it as uncharacterized. The record is from RefSeq and is a predicted model, not a curated record. NCBI's taxonomy places the organism in Eukaryota, Viridiplantae, Streptophyta, Magnoliopsida, Caryophyllales, Amaranthaceae. The transcript has 3 exons.